UCGAACGAGUUCUCGUUGAUGAUCGGUGCUUGCACCGAGAUUCAACAUGGAACGAGUGGCGGACGGGUGAGUAACACGUGGGUAACCUGCCCUUAAGUGGGGGAUAACAUUUGGAAACAGAUGCUAAUACCGCAUAGAUCCAAGAACCGCAUGGUUCUUGGCUGAAAGAUGGCGUAAGCUAUCGCUUUUGGAUGGACCCGCGGCGUAUUAGCUAGUUGGUGAGGUAAUGGCUCACCAAGGCGAUGAUACGUAGCCGAACUGAGAGGUUGAUCGGCCACAUUGGGACUGAGACACGGCCCAAACUCCUACGGGAGGCAGCAGUAGGGAAUCUUCCACAAUGGACGCAAGUCUGAUGGAGCAACGCCGCGUGAGUGAAGAAGGCUUUCGGGUCGUAAAACUCUGUUGUUGGAGAAGAAUGGUCGGCAGAGUAACUGUUGUCGGCGUGACGGUAUCCAACCAGAAAGCCACGGCUAACUACGUGCCAGCAGCCGCGGUAAUACGUAGGUGGCAAGCGUUAUCCGGAUUUAUUGGGCGUAAAGCGAGCGCAGGCGGUUUUUUAAGUCUGAUGUGAAAGCCCUCGGCUUAACCGAGGAAGCGCAUCGGAAACUGGGAAACUUGAGUGCAGAAGAGGACAGUGGAACUCCAUGUGUAGCGGUGAAAUGCGUAGAUAUAUGGAAGAACACCAGUGGCGAAGGCGGCUGUCUGGUCUGUAACUGACGCUGAGGCUCGAAAGCAUGGGUAGCGAACAGGAUUAGAUACCCUGGUAGUCCAUGCCGUAAACGAUGAAUGCUAGGUGUUGGAGGGUUUCCGCCCUUCAGUGCCGCAGCUAACGCAUUAAGCAUUCCGCCUGGGGAGUACGACCGCAAGGUUGAAACUCAAAGGAAUUGACGGGGGCCCGCACAAGCGGUGGAGCAUGUGGUUUAAUUCGAAGCAACGCGAAGAACCUUACCAGGUCUUGACAUCUUUUGAUCACCUGAGAGAUCAGGUUUCCCCUUCGGGGGCAAA
RNAcentral lists this ribosomal RNA (1005 nucleotides) under Lacticaseibacillus paracasei. Its description in RNAcentral is "bacterial SSU rRNA". It matches the Rfam family "Bacterial small subunit ribosomal RNA", at positions 62 to 1030 of the family's 1533-position model. The record is from RNAcentral. Lineage: Bacteria; Bacillati; Bacillota; Bacilli; Lactobacillales; Lactobacillaceae.